This 787-nucleotide ribosomal RNA is filed under the name uncultured fungus. Its description in RNAcentral is "eukaryotic LSU rRNA". The stretch from base 1 to 241 matches the Rfam family "Eukaryotic small subunit ribosomal RNA", at positions 1593 to 1831 of the family's 1831-position model. Lineage: Eukaryota; Fungi. The record is from RNAcentral.
UUGCUCUUCAACGAGGAAUCCCUAGUAAGCGCAAGUCAUCAGCUUGCGUUGAUUACGUCCCUGCCCUUUGUACACACCGCCCGUCGCUACUACCGAUUGAAUGGCUCAGUGAGGCGUCCGGACUGGCCCAGGGAGGUGGGCAACUACCACCCAGGGCCGGAAAGCUCUCCAAACUCGGUCAUUUAGAGGAAGUAAAAGUCGUAACAAGGUCUCCGUUGGUGAACCAGCGGAGGGAUCAUUAUCGAGUUAUUCAACUCCCAAACCCUAUGUGAACUUACCACUUGUUGCUUCGGCGCGCGCUUCGGCGCCGCCGAGGACACUUAAACUCUUUGUUUUUAUAAGCAUUUCUGAGUGGCCGAAAGGCAAAAAUACAAAUGAAUCAAAACUUUCAACAACGGAUCUCUUGGUUCUGGCAUCGAUGAAGAACGCAGCGAAAUGCGAUAAGUAAUGUGAAUUGCAGAAUUCAGUGAAUCAUCGAAUCUUUGAACGCACAUUGCGCCCGCCAGCAUUCUGGCGGGCAUGCCUGUUCGAGCGUCAUUUCAACCCUCGAGCCCGACUCUUUUGAGGACGGCUCGGCGUUGGGGGACGGCAGACUCCCCCCGGCAUCUCGCCGGGGACGCCGCCCCCGAAAUCUAGUGGCGGCCCUCCGAGGCGACCUCUGCGUAGUAACUUGUUCUCGCACCGGAAAGCUCAGAGCGGCCACGCCGUAAAACCCCAACUUUUUUCAGGUUGACCUCGAAUCAGGUAGGACUACCCGCUGAACUUAAGCAUAUCAAUAAGCGGAGGA